Non-coding RNA from Chlorocebus sabaeus (green monkey), 9134 nucleotides. The record is from RefSeq and is a predicted model, not a curated record. NCBI's taxonomy places the organism in Eukaryota, Metazoa, Chordata, Mammalia, Primates, Cercopithecidae.
CAUCACCAGCACUGCGGCUCAAGGGGCUGGUAGGCUCUCCUGCACCCCGCGUGCUCCUCCGCCUUCUCUGUGUCCCCCGGCUUUUCCAGGAGGAAGAUGGGGUGCCCAUCGUGAAUGGGGCGCGCUGGGCCGCCUGGCCGGGCGGUCACGUGUCCCCCCUCCCCCGCCACUGCGGCGGGAGUUCCAAUCAGAGCUCGCCAGGGGGCUCCUCCCGGGCAGGAACCACCCGGCUCGGCGGCGGAGGGUGGGCCGCCGUCACCUGACCGCCCGCCCCCGCCCCCCGCGAGUAAGGGGCGGUGGUAGCGUCUGCUCGGUUACAAAUGGCCCCUCCCGCCCGGCUCGCCCGCUCGCUCGGGCUCGGCGCGGACCCGCCUGGGCGUGCUCCUCCCGCCGGCUCCAGGCGUCCCACCGCCCUGCCCGGCGCCAGCCCGCGGUCCCAGCCACUCCUGAGGGUGCGCCGGGCACCCAGCGCGUAGGCUCACCCUUGGUGGUCGCCACGGAAGUCUGGACCGCCGAGGCGUGUGGCUUGUCUACCGGCAGGUGUUCUUUUGAUCACAAUGGAUAGUGACUCUUCUCUUCUGCCUGAGAGUGGUUCAAAAUAGUGAAGGAGGGGUUUGGACUUCUCAAUUUGUGUCCAGAACAAGGAUGGAGAGGCUCAGCAGCACCAACAGGCACUGGUGGAUUCUCGACAGAACCACAAAGUGGAGUUGGCUACAGAUGAGUCUGUUCAUGGCCUCAGCUUCCCACCUAUUCCUGAGUCACCUUUUGCCCCUCAGACAGAGAUGGGAUAGCGCCAGGAUGUGGAAAAGCAUCAGUGGGGAAAAAACUUUGUUCUGGGAGGUGCAGUGAUCAUCAAAUUCUAUGAAGGCCCAUCAUUGGACAUACUAAAGCUGUGGAGAGCUGUUUUCCCAGAGAAAUACCAAUGCACAGCAGCAGCAGCACAGAGGCAUCUCUGCGCCCAUCGGCCUGCCCCAGAGACCUCCCCAGCAUGGUGUGGUGGGGCAGCUGGUGUUGUGAAUCAGGCCGUUGCCAAUCAGAGAACGGCUACUUCACAACACCAGGGCCGCACCACACUACAGGCAGCAUUCCGGCUCCAGAACCCGCAAGGGCGCCCUCUGGCGAGGCAGCCACACCCACCGCAGAGGACCGUCAGCUCCAGAACCCAGGCAGUUCUGGGCUGGCUGCUGCAGCUCCCCUGCAGACACUGGCCUCCUGAGGCUGCUGUUUAUCCCCCAACACAAAUGCUCUGCUUUUAAAGAAAAAGACACUCCUGGUAACAUUAGCUUCCUACAGAGAAAAUGAUGUGACCAGGCUUCCCACUGUGAAAAUGAAGUUAUGGGCCAUCAGGAGGGUUAAGCGCCACUCAGCUGAACAUUUCCUCCUAGGUGCCAAAACACCUAGGUGCGGAGCUGGGACUGUUGUUUUGAUACUUGGUGAUGGUAGCUUUGAAUAGGGCAAAGUAGAGGAAAGGGAAGACCUAGUAAUAGGACAGUGGCCUCCUGGAGAGAGGAAGGCUCUUUGUAGCCACAUAUAUAGGUAAUGCAUCUACUUCCUAGAUGAUCCCAGGGUCCCUGGAGAGCAAACACCUUUCUUGGCUGGGGAGAGUUCCACAGCUCUCCAUCAGCGCAUAUCCCAGUGACCUGAGUGCUGGAUAAGAACCAAGCACGGGAUUGUUCCUAGGGCACUGAUCUGCCAGAUACUCCAUCAAAGGUAAUACCUGCCAUUCAUUACCUGUGCUGACAGAUGGGCUUCCUUUCCCCAGGUCCUUACAGCCAUGGACCCAGCAGAGCUGGAAAACUAAUGGAGGUCUCUAGAGUUGGAGUAGUAUUUCAUGCCUAACUUAAAUCUUAUAUGUGACAUCACCAUUUUUCAGAGCCCAAGCAAGAGUUUUCAAGAUAGAGUGGCUGAGUUGGCUAGUAUCCUUUCCAAAACACUAAUAAAAAGGAGGAUGUUCCUCUCUCUAGCUUUUUAUAGGACAAAGAUCCAGAGCCACUCCGAUUAACUCAGGCCCAGUCUAUAGUCUGUUUGUAUAGGGAUCUUGCUGCUCUGAAAACCAGAGAGAGGGAUAAAAACAAGCACCAUGCAAACCGUGCAUAGCACCCAGGUUACAUAGAGCCUGAGUUAACCAGAGCCACCUGCAUCUGUAUCACCUUAGAAUUCUGGAAGGUGAGUCUACUUCUUUAAAGUUCUAUCCCUCACCCCAUCCCUAUAUUGUUAAUGGCAUCUCUGAAAUUUGUACUAAAUUAUGUUUAGGGACAAAUAUCUUCAAAGCAAAAUAGUCCCAGUUUUCAGAAUGGGCUUCUUGCCGUCUCCUUCAUCCAGUUACCAACUCACCUACCACCAACGGAGUCCAAGCCAGAGCCACUCACGGUGUGGUCCAUGGACAGCAGCUUCAGCAUGUUGGAAAAGUAGGAUCCCAAGGGCCACCAUGCACCUGCUCCACCAGAAUCUCCAGUGGCCAACUCGGAGAACAUAGCAAGACUAAACUCUACCAAAAAAAUGUUUUUAAAAAUUAGACGGGGGUGUGGUGGCACACACCUGUAGUUCCAUCAGCUACUCAGGCAGCUGAGGUGAGAGGACCUUUUGAGCCCAGGAGUUUGAGGCUGCAGUGAGCAGAGAUUGUGCCACUGUACUCCAGCUUGGGUAACAGAGCAAGCCCCUGUCUCAAAAAAAAAAAAAAGUCUCCAGUGGGGACAGCAAGCUGGGCAGGAACUCUGUUACAGGCACUCCAGGGGAUGCUUCAAAACCACUUCCACCCGCUUUUGGGUCUCCCCACAACCUCUCCAGCUUCCAUUUCAGCCUUAUCUCUUCCACACAUUAUAACCAGAAUGAUCUUUUCAAAAUGCACUCCUAAAUCAUGCAAAUGCCUCCCAUUCCUGGCCUUGUAACUGCUUAAUGGGUUAUCCUCACGCUAACUUCAGUGGGACCUGUGAAUGACAUCCACUCCCCUCCCCACCCCUCCUCCCUUUCCAUAAGAUCCCUCUGGCCCCUGCCGCAGGACCUUCAUUCAGCUCAGCCCUAUCUAGAAGGCUCCCAGCUGCCUCUAAACUCCCAUCACUGAUGCCUGACCGUCCUCCAGGUUUUAGACAGAGCUAACUCCCAUUACCCAGAAGGCCAGGUCAGGUAACAGCUCUUCUGUGCACUCAGCAAGCUGAAUUCCAUCCCUUCAGAGCAUUCAUCUCAUUUUGUCAUUACUCGUUCAUGAAUGGGAAUCUUUGCUGAAUCUGUGUCUUUCCCACUGGCCAUAAGCUCCUUGAGGGCAGGGUUAUUCAGCUUCAUUCACUGCUGUACCCUCCAGCCUAGUUCAGUGUCUGGCACUGAGUAGACACUGAAUAAAUCUGUUCAAUGAAUGGAGGAGCACAGCCCAAGCCCAGUGUCCUUCAAGGUGAGACCCUCUUGCUAUUUGUUGAAGCCCUGGGUCUUUGUUUCCUUUCAGUGGCAUCAUUAUUAAUAGUAGCAGGCAAUUACAGAGUAGAAACUGCCAGCCACUGCCCUGAGCCCUCCAUGUACAUUUAGCCAUGUACUUGGUGCCUCCAUUUCCUCCUCAUAAGCAGGCAGGUCAUGUAACCACCCUAUCAGGUAAGUACCAAGACCACACCAUCGAUAUUGUUGGUGAUUGGUGUCACUACUGUUUAAACCCAAGCAUUCUGGCCUCAGAGUCCAUGUGUUGAGCCACUGCCUCCUACUGCUGAGGAACCAACGUGAAGGGGACAAAGGUGAUGACGGAAGUCCAGGGCUGCUCCCAGGGACUGAGCAAAAAAGCCUUCUCCAUUCUCAGAGGCUUCCAGUCUGGUUUCUUAAACCAGGUAGACCAGGCAGUGUUCUCUCCCUUUGUGCAUUUGUAGAUUCUAACAUUGUUUAAAACACUUCAUAAUGGAACCUGAUUAAAAACCUAAUAAAAUAUAAAAUGGGGUCAAGUCCAGAGAGAGAAUGAGACAACCAUUUAAGAUCCAGAGGAUGCUCUACUUAAUUUUGGUAUUGAGCUGCUGAAUUCAUUUGAAGUUUGCACAGUGACCUUCAGAGGUCGAGACCACAAAGGCAAAUUGUGCUCCCCACCCACCUCACCCCACCCCUGUCCAGAACUGUUUCCUCAAGACUAGCCUAAGCGAGCACAACCUUGGGCUGCCUCCCGCGCAUGCUUAGAUCCAGCCAGAGCGCCACCGCUGGGCCACAGACCUCCAUUCACAUUGUGGCUUCUUUUCCAAAGUGUAUUCACCUCAUUGAGAACAGCCUCUCCCCUCCUGAACAUUCCAGACCUUCCACUUAGGCUGACUUAAUGCCACCUGGCCAGAAAAAAACAGUGUCCAUUCCCCCUUUCCUAAAACCUUGAUUUUGUGAUCAUUUGAAGCUCUGACUUUAGAAUCUCUGUAUUAUAACUUCCUUGGGAUCCCGCCUUUGCAGCUAGCCACAUUGCAAAUUAUAAGACACUCUCUGGAGGCCAGUUGUAGACAACCAAAAGCCCUGGUGAUGUAGGGAGCUCGCUAGACACACACUUUUAUACCCACCACCUUGUCUUAAGGUGGUUACCAUCUGCUGACCCCAGUCAGCUCUUCUGGGAAAAGCUGGGUUUGGGAAAGGAGUUCCCCAAAUGUAUUUAAUAGCAAAUGGAGCAAUGGUUCUCAAAGUGUGCUCCCUGGAGCAGCAGCGGCACCAGCAUCUCCUGGGAACUCAUUAGACAUGCACAUCCUCCAGCUGCACCCACCCCUGCUGAGUUAGCAGCUCUGGGGUAAGGCCAGUGCACUCAAGUUUGAGAACUACCAAAAUAAAGUAAAAGAUGGGGUAGAAAACCCCUCGAGUAUCAAACGUUAGAAGGCCACAAUAGUGGAGCGUCUGUGCCUACCAUUUGCAGAAAUGUGGCAAGUUUAGGGUGUUUACUAAUGCAUGUUGAAUAAUGAUUCUCUUAAAACUUUUGUGAAUUGUAAAAGUAAAUCCCUAGGGAUGCUGGGCAGUGAUAACCUGACUCUCCCAUUUUCACCUGCACACACAUACCCAGAACAUCCUCUUCUCCUUCAUAACAGGGAAGUUGGAAGGUAAAAGUUAUUUUCUACCAAUAUAAAGUCUUAGAUUUUUAUUUAUUAAAUUCUUAACACAGUAUAUGGCACAGUUACCUUUUAAAGGCUUUCCAUUUAUUUAAUCUGAGCCCACAACAACCCCAUUUAAGGAGAGGAACUAAAGCCAGAGAGAUUUAGGAGCCAGCCUGUACCUCAGGGAUGAGAGACAUUACUUGCUGGAGCAGAGGUCUGAGCUCAGCAAUGCUCCCAGACCCACACUUGCCCUGUGCUUUUGAUUUUCUACCUCCCUAAUGAACAAGUGGGGAUCAUAAAGUCAGCUGUGCCCAGCUUAGAGCACCUGUUUCUGUCUGAGCAAUGAAAAGCCAUUUGAUUGGCAGUCAACUUGGAGAAACUCUGACCUUAAAUGAUAGUGCCAUAAAGACCAAACACACUGGGCAGUCAUAUCGUUUCAACUUGACAAAAUUUGUCAUACUUUUUUCUCAAGGCGGCCUUCUGGUUUUUUUUGCUAGUGGCAGGGGUAGAUUUCCUUGUUUUACUGGUAAUUAUCACCUUUUACCUUAGACUUCAUAGGUGGUCUUUUAUGCAUUCCUCGUGAAAGCCAUAGCCAAAAGCCUUUUCAACCCCAAGCAUCUGUCUCUUGGUAGGUACUGGCUUCAGGCAAGUGGCUUCUGUCAUGAAGAAAAUAUAAUAAUUUGAGUGUCAUUGCUACAAGGCAAGUGUUCCUAUGUACUCCAUCACACCAACUGCAGUGAGACUAUCAGGAAAGCUUUGGGUACCCUCCCUGGGAAAACUGCACAUCACUCUGCUGAAAUUUCAGGAAAAGUUUACGGGUCUCAAGGACAGAGCUGAAGUCAAAAAAUUUCCCCUUCAUGUUAACUUUUAUGGAUUUUUAAGGGGAGGGGCAAAAAAAUUCAUUUCACCAUUCCCUUUGUCUUCUUAAAACUCAGAAGAAACCUCACACACCAAUGAGUUUGAAAUCGCUAUUUUAAAAGGCAUAGCAGAAUUUUGAUAGAAAAAUAGAGCAAAAUAAGCAGUAAAAUCUCAUCCCUAACAUUCUCCAGCUGCCUGACAUCCUGGUUCAGUUCCGGAGACUUUGCAUUGCUCCCUAGUUCCAGGGGGUGGCACAGGAGCCAAAAACGAGACCUGAGGCUGAGGCCCAACAGAAGAUGAAACUUGGGAGCAGCCUCAGCUCCAGGAAUCCUCACUUCCUGGCACAGCAGGUUUGGGUGCCGCAGAGCCCAGGGCUAGGCGCCUGCCAGCAGUCCAUCAGUCACAGUCUCAGAUGAGUGGCAUCAAGGUGGAGCCCACUGAAGUGAAAGGAGCUAUGAGGGACACCUGCAGCAGAAAUGUCUGCCCCCUGCCUUGUCCCACUGAGGCUCCAUCUCACAGUUGGAGAAGUGGAAGCAAAGGAACCUGUCCUAGACCACACAGCCUGGCCCUCUGUUUCCAGAGCCAGAUCUUUGUGCUCUGGAACAAAGACAGUGAUCCCAUUAACCCACUGGCACGCACUCUGUGCCAGGCACUUGGUCUGUGUCGUCUCAUUGCGGCACAGAGCAGCCCUGGGAAUGGAAGCAGUAUCAUUCCCAUUUUUCAGGUGAGGUACAGGCUCAGAAAGGUCAAGAAACUUGCUCACAGUCUCACAGCUGGUGAGUAGGUUGUCAGACUCCAAAGAUGUGUGCUGCUAACCCUGCCCAAAGGGACUUCAUCCUCCUCCCUCCUUCCUAGACAGUUCUCCCGACCACCGCCAACAGGCAACGUAGGUGUGAUUGCCUUCAAACGUUUUCUACCUGCCUUCAAGCUUGAAGCACUAGCGACUGAGGGAAGAGAGAACUGGAAGUGAAGGAAGAAAAAAGAGCUAUUGCCCUCCUGCGGUGAACCUCCAAGGUUGUUCCCUCAGGCCUGACUGGACUGGAAGAAGCAGGGUGUGGGUGUGUGUGGGUGUGUGUGUGUAAUUGACUUUGUGACCAUGAAACUGAGUUAAUACUCUUCUGUCUUUGCCUAUUUCUUCUUGUCCAUUGCCUAGAGGAAUACCCAUUAAUGUUUAAGAGGCAUGGAAUGAUAGAAAAUAACACUGUUCAAGGACCAAAAAUUUUAAAAUUGCUGACAUACAGCAUAGAAUGUGAAAGUCCCUGAUAAUCUUAUCCUUAGGGAUAACCACUUGCCAUUUUUUACAAUUUGAAUUUUUUUAUGAUUACAAAAGUCAGACACAUUUUAAAAUACUUUAAAACAAAAUAAAAAUAAAUGCUUCAUUGCUCAGGUUACCCUAGUACAUGCAAGGUCUGAGACCACAUCCAUCAAUGCAAUUUGCUGCAUGGAUUACCAGAUCUCCCCACCAUUGACCUCUUGAUUUUUUUUUUACUCUGAGAGCAAACAGAAUGGGCAAGGGCUGACCUGAAAUCCUUUUGAAACACAAGCUGGAUCCUAGGGCUUUGACCUCCACUGCUCACUGCCACACAGGAUCCAUCUCUGUGCCCCACUCCACCCCACCCCACUGGCCUUCCUGCUGCUGCUCACACAGGCCUACUCCUAAGGCUUCUGCAUACUCUGUUCCCUGCAGAGGCCUCUCUUCCUCUGAACAAAUGUGGGACCCAUCUCUGCCAAGGCUGGGAAGCAAACAGCCCCCACUUUGCCUUGCCAGCCUGUGUUUGCACCAUUCCUGUGGUGGCCUCUCCCAGCUGCUUUCACGUGGCAUUUGAGCUCUGGGAAGCUGGAAGUUUGUGGAGUCCAGUUCCCUCAUUUUGCAUAUAUGGACGAUAAAGCCCGCAGGCAAGGGCUCUGACAAAAGGAAAAAUGCCUUCCAUUUGGCAUUGUGAUGCAGAGGCUGUCACAGACAAGCCUGGGAAUUUGGGAUACAUCUUGCUGAGCCUAGAGACAGAAAAGAGCUUCCAGGCUGCCUUCCCUGAGCCCCAGGCCAGGCCCCUCCAGGACACACUUGCAUGGCACCCUGUUCUUCAAAACACUGCACACUAAUGACGAUGCAAAGGAUUAACUGACUUUUCCGUAUUCUUGUUUUCUACCAAGCGAUAAGCUUCAGAAGGACAAGGUAUGAGUCCAUUUUGCUUUUUGCCUUCCCCAGCACAUGGCACAAUGCCCAGCACAUAGUGUUUUGAGAGACGGCUGACUGGCUGUCUCAUACAAGGUCCUGCUCUGUUGGGCACAAGGGCUGCUUAACACAUUCCUGUGCUACAAAAGACGGGUAGUGCUCCUCUCCUCUAGGAGCCACCAAAUAAAUUCAGAUACGAAUGCCAAAAAGAGGGCAGCGCCAGCUUAGGGAGAGAGUGCCUUGAUAAGGCACUGUUUCUAUCCAUGGAGGCAGUGUGGAAUGAUAGGAAUGAUCCAGGACCUAGAGGAGAGAGCUUAAGUCUUAUUUGCAGCCAAAAGCCUUCAAACCUGAGCUAGCCAGAACUGUUGUGUCAGAAUUCUCACCCAUGACAAGCAGCCUGGAGGUAGGGAGUCCAGGGUUGAUGCAUUGACUUAAGGUGUCAUCAAAAGCUUAGACUACCCUUCUGCUGCACCACCCUUAUCACCUCGUGAUCACAAGAGGACUACUGUUCAAGUCAUCACUUCCACAUUCCAGAAGGAAGAAAGGAAAGGUAGAGGGGCCAGAAGUAUCUCCACCUUUUAUCAGGAGGCAUUAGCUUUCCCAGAAACUUCCAUGUCCACCCAGCAGACUUCCACUUACAUCUCACUAGACAGAACUCCUAUCACUUGGCCACCCCAGCAGUCAGGGAAGCUGGAAAGGUGAGCAUUCAGCUGUAGAGAGUGGAAACACCAGCAGCGAGGGAAGAACAGGUCAGUCAUCACUGUAGAGUUCCCUGCCCUGCAGCAACUGCCAAAACUAGGUAAAUUAUUUUUUACCAUAACAGUGUUUUUGUGGAUUUUCUUAUUACAAAAGCAAUGCCUAUACAUUGUUACUUUAGAAAAUAAAGAUUUUAAAUCUUCAACAAGCCCAUUACUCAGAAGUGACAACUGUUAUUCCUGGUUUAUUAGCUUUCUAGAUCUUUGUAUUUUUUUUUUUUUUUAACAUGGGUGGAACCACAAUAUGGGUUGCUUUGAAAUUAGCCUUUGCACUUGGCAUUGUGAAAAAUCUUUCCAAAUCAUUAAAUGUUCUCUGCAGAAUUA